UAUGGUAAUAAUGGCAAGAAGGAUACACCUGUAACCAUGUCGAACACAGUAGUUAAGUUUCUUAGCGCCGAGGGUAGUGAAGGGUUUCUCUUUGUGAGAGUAGGACAUUGCCAUGC
RNAcentral lists this ribosomal RNA (116 nucleotides) under Vagococcus penaei. The record is from RNAcentral. Lineage: Bacteria; Bacillati; Bacillota; Bacilli; Lactobacillales; Enterococcaceae.